Daucus carota subsp. sativus is the source of this 1154-nucleotide RNA transcript. RefSeq lists it as uncharacterized. The record is from RefSeq and is a predicted model, not a curated record. The transcript has 2 exons. NCBI's taxonomy places the organism in Eukaryota, Viridiplantae, Streptophyta, Magnoliopsida, Apiales, Apiaceae.
GCCAUAUCCCCCCACACACAAAGAAUAAGUGGUAAUUGGUAAAUAAAAAGAAAUGGUUGAAGAGUAGACUCGUAGAAUGGUAACUUGACUUAAUGGGCAUGGCACUCAAUAAAAAAGAAGAGAAAUAAGUGUACGAAUGAAUUGAAUAAUGAAAACAAAACACCCAUUACAUAUUCCCUGAUGUGAUUCACUCAUUUCAUUUCUCCUUCUCCAUUUCCUCUCUACUCAUUACUAAUUUGCCCUACUUAUUCAUUCCUCAACUCCACUCUUUUCUCUCCUAUCAACCCAAAAAUGUCCAGAGAAAGAGGCAAAGAAGUGGGCGAGGACUCCACUCCCAGCCGAUACGAAUCGCAGAAACGCAGAGACUGGAACACCUUCGGGCAGUACCUGGGGAACCAGAAGCCCCCAGUGUCCAUCUCCCAGUGCACCAGCAGCCAUGUACAUGGUUUUCUGGGCUAUUUAGAUCAGUUUGGGAAGACUAAAGUCCAUGUUCAAGGCUGCGUAUUCUUCGGCCAGCCUGAGCCUCCAGCCCCCUGUGCCUGUCCGCUCAGACAGGCCUGGGGGAGCCUGGAUGCCCUCAUAGGCAGGCUUCGGGCUGCCUAUGAGGAAAACGGAGGGUCACCUGACACCAAUCCGUUUGCAAGCGAUUCCAUUCGCUUGCAUCUUCGACAAGUCAAGGAGGUCCAGGCCAAGGCCCGGGGGAUUCCUUACAAGAAGAAAAAGAAGAACAAGACUACUGGUAGCCAGAGCAGCCACAAAGAGGAUCAGGAUGAGUCCAGUUCUGCCAUUUAGUAUCCAAGCUGCCAAAAACAUAUGGUUUGCAGGUUAGACGGAAAGUAUGAGAGUUGUUGGCAAUGUAGGUCAACUGAUAUUUUGAAAGGCACUUGAAAUGGUGAUGGACCAUUCUACCAAAUGCAUUUCCUAUCAGUUCCAUAACUAAUAUCAACGCCAGACUAAAUAAAUCUAUCUGCCAGAGUUUUCAGAUUCCGGCUGUCCGCUUCAUCAUCAGGCAUGGCGGGGAGGGCUAUCGCUAGAAAAAAGAAAAAAUGAAAUCUGUAUUUCACCGAUUUAUGCAAAUAUCUUCCAGUGAAUUUGGUAUGUCAUGAACAAUAUUUCUAUUGCCUGUUAUAUAUGCAGUUUCUUGAUUCGUAUUA